GACGAACGCUGGCGGCGUGCUUAACACAUGCAAGUCGAACGGUAAGGCCCUUCGGGGUACACGAGUGGCGAACGGGUGAGUAACACGUGGGUGAUCUGCCCUGCACUUCGGGAUAAGCCUGGGAAACUGGGUCUAAUACCGGAUAGGACCACUGCCUGCAUGGGUGGUGGUGGAAAGCUUUUGCGGGGUGGGAUGGGCCCGCGGCCUAUCAGCUUGUUGGUGGGGUGAUGGCCUACCAAGGCGACAACGGGUAGCCGGCCUGAGAGGGUGACCGGCCACACUGGGACUGAGAUACGGCCCAGACUCCUACGGGAGGCAGCAGUGGGGAAUAUUGCACAAUGGGCGCAGGCCUGAUGCAGCGACGCCGCGUGAGGGAUGACGGCCUUCGGGUUGUAAACCUCUUUCAGCACCGACGAAGCGCAAGUGACGGUAGGUGCAGAAGAAGGACCGGCCAACUACGUGCCAGCAGCCGCCGUAA
This 478-nucleotide ribosomal RNA is filed under the name uncultured bacterium. Its description in RNAcentral is "partial 16S ribosomal RNA". It matches the Rfam family "Bacterial small subunit ribosomal RNA", at positions 28 to 523 of the family's 1533-position model. The record is from RNAcentral.